AUUUGGCUUCAAUAGAACGCAAAGUCACCCAAAAGUAUCGUUUUUCCUCUUUCCCAAGAAAGAUAAAAAUAUAAAAACUUUUAAUAAGUGGGUAGAAUAAAGGACAACGAGGAAGAAGAUGUUGAGGAAAUGCCAUCUCAGACCAAAAAAGAAAAACAACGAAAUCUAUAUACCGACGAAAACGGGAGGUUGAAAGUAACCUACAUAGCAGCUUUGCAAACCAGGGAGGAGAUCUUGAGAACUCUUUGUGGUUCUCUCUUGCCAAAAAAGACUGGGUAGCUGAAAAAAAUCUUGUCAAGUCUACAUUCGAAUACGCUGCGAACAUAAUUGAAAUGGCUCUGUACAUGGCAAAAAGUAAUAUGAAAGAGUUUUUUACACUGCUGAAAUAAUGUGCGAUCUGGGAACAAUUGCUGGGAAAUUACCGAAACCAGACAAAAAUCAGUUCGUGUCCAGUUUACUCAGCCGAUUCAACAGAAAUUAAAUACUGUAUAGCCAUACAAUAACAUGACCAUGUUACACUUUUUUCUAUAAGAGCCAUUCAAAUUAUGCCCAGGCUCACUUUUAUUAUUUUUGCUGAUUCCAGCAUUGCUUUAUUUCCAUUUACAGAAAAUUGUUAUUGUACAGCAGUAUAUUACUGUGCCAUAAAUGUUAUAAGAUCGUUAUCGUUGAAGUAUAAACAGGCCUUUAUCCAACCUGGGCUUCAAUAUUUGGAAAAGCUUUUGGUUUGUACCUGAUUGUACUUUUCUUAUGAGGUAGUUCUUGUUAUCUUGCAUAGUAAAAUACCCACUACAUGUCUUGUGACAUGUUUCCAAACUACAUCUUCCACGUUUUAUUAACAAAUUCUACCCACUUAAUAAAUGUUUCUAUAUCUUUUUUGGAAAGAGAACAAAAGAUAGUUUCUGGUGACUAAAUUGCAUUCUGAUGUGUUGAAUUUGUGUAGAAAAAAAUCAUGGAAAAUAAUUUUAUAUAACCAAUUAUGUUAUUUACUAAGAUAAUUCAUAUAUAAGGGUUUUUUGAAAUGAUAAUACUGUUAGUGCAAUAAACAAGCAAUUAAUUACCAUUAAUCAUUUUUUAAACAAGUUAAAUUGGAUAACAAUUAUAUUUAUUAUUACAUUUACUAAUCUUUACAUUUAAUGAUAAUAAAGCAUGCUUUAGCAUGAAUACUGCAAUCAUAAUCUAACUGUAAAUUAGUGGAAAGUGUCUUCACUUUGUUUCAGUACUUAGCAAAGGUUGUCCCAUUUUGUGAAAAAAUAAUAAGAGUUCGUCAGUGUUAAAUAAUAUCAUGAGAGUCUCUUGUAGCAUGAAUACUGCAAUAGUAAUCAAACAAGUAUUUCAUUAAUCAAAUUGUAAAUGAUUUUAAUUGAAUUACAAUUAUACAGUACAGUAGUAAUACUACUUACAUUAAAAAAAAAAAAAAAGACAUGCAUAUUGUUUUUAAGGUUGUUGGACAUACUGUAUUACUAAAAUAAAUAUGCUAUUACGAAGCACACAAAACCUGGUAUAGUGUAAUGCCUUAAUUUUGUUAAUAAAUAGGUGCCUAGUAUCGUCAGG
Molecule: long non-coding RNA, 1551 nt
Filed under: Anneissia japonica
Lineage: Eukaryota; Metazoa; Echinodermata; Crinoidea; Comatulida; Comatulidae
Description: uncharacterized LOC117113451
Source: RNAcentral